UGUUCUUGCUGGUGUUCAGGACGAGGAUGUUGUCUAAGCACCACUGUGUCAGGUGUUGGAUCUCCUUUCUAUAGUCAGUCUCAUCAUUGUCUCGCAAACUUCACAACUGUGUUAGUGAAAUGAAUGGGAGAACAAUUGCGAGUAAAGACAUUGAAUAAGGCCGGGCUGAGCACACAGCCCUCUGGGGUGCUCGUCUUCAGGACCAGUGUGGAAGAUGUCCAGCUCCCCAUUCUUACCGCCCGAGGCCUGAUGGAGAGGAAGUCUCUGAUCCAGUAGCGCAGCGAAGUCGACAGACCCAGGUUAUGAAGCUUCAGAGCCAGCUUAUUCAGGAUCACAGUGUUGAAAACAGAGAAGAAGUCAACAAACAGCAUCCUAACAUAAGAGUUGUGAUGUUCCAGGUGGGUCAGAGCUUACAUCCUGUGUUGAACUUUCCACCUGUAUGCAAGCUGAUGUCUGUCCAGACCAACAUGGAUGCGCUUGGUCCUUGAUGUGCUUCUGAACGAUCCUCUCACAGCACUUCAUAAUUGCUGAAGUCAGGGCCACAGGACUAUAAUCACUGAGGCAAGAGACAAUCUUUUGGGUACAGAGGAUUUAAGGCAGACAGGUUGAAGAUGUCCAGAAAAACUUCUGCCAGUUAGUCAGGGCACGCCUUCAGAGUCCUGCCUGACAGCUAACACGAGAGUGAGUUUAAAUGUUUUGUUAAUAAAAACAUCCCCGUCUGAUUCUGCAUUAUAUAACCCUCCGGGGCUGCAUGUUCACAUCCGUCCGCUAGAGGGUGCUGCGGGCCCUCAUUGUAGAGCCACCCUCGUAGGCUCCUGACCCGCGUUCACCCGUACUGUACAGGCAUGGGGGAGGACCGAGCAUAGAGAACUAGUAAACGCUGUGGAGUUCCCUGUGCACACCGUGGCCAUGACUUUGACAGUACCGGCUAGCGGACGUUGCUCUCCCGUCUCCAGGCACCUGAAAGCGGACCGGUAGAGGAGGCUACACCGGAGGGAGAGGCAUUAGCUGACGCCGGCUCGAGUCGGUAAAGCAGCUUUUAUUUGAUUUUUUAACGUGUUUGUUGAGCUUGUUUCUUCACGUGAUAACUCUGCCGCUCCUCGUUCAGCGGUUUUACGUGGACGCUACCGGGAGGCGUUUUUAUUUGAGCGGUGGGGUGCAGUUGAGUGAAACAGUUUGACACUUCCAGCGAAAACAGGCUGCAAGCUUCUCCUCGGGGACGCCGGUGCAAGGUGAGCGCUGUCCUCACGUCAACCCCGGGCUGCGCCGGCCUGCUCCCUGCCUGCUGUACUCCAGCGUUAGGGAAACGCGUCGUCGUCGUCUGGCCAGUGCACUGCAGCUCUGUGACGUCCCCACGUUCACCUACACCGGCUUCCUCUUAUUGUCACCGCGCUGUGUGAAACUAGUUACUCUACAUUCUGCAGUCAGAGGUCGGUCUGUCCGUGGGCGCUUGCGUGCCAAAGUUUGCCUGAAAAGCUGCUGGAGGAUUCAGAGCCAUACAUGUC
Molecule: long non-coding RNA, 1505 nt
Organism: Oreochromis aureus
Lineage: Eukaryota; Metazoa; Chordata; Actinopteri; Cichliformes; Cichlidae
Source: Ensembl